Brassica rapa (field mustard) is the source of this 2416-nucleotide RNA transcript. RefSeq lists it as uncharacterized. The record is from RefSeq and is a predicted model, not a curated record. NCBI's taxonomy places the organism in Eukaryota, Viridiplantae, Streptophyta, Magnoliopsida, Brassicales, Brassicaceae.
AGCUUAACUUUUGGGAGUUACAACGAGCGGGGCUGGAAACUGCUGCUGGAUCUGCUUAAGCAAUCUCCAAAGCUUGAAACACUAAUCGUCCAGGGUCUGGAUGGUUACGUAGGUGAUGUUAGGAUUCGUCCGUUCCAAGUGAAGGUGGAGGAACUGGUAAAGCGUUGGAAAUCUUGAAGAGUUUUCUUGGAUGAUUCCAUAAGAUCACAAACUAAUAGAGGAUCUACUGAUCUUGGAUGAUUCCAUAAGAUCACAAACCAAUAGAGGAUCUAGUGAAAGUUUCAAUUUCAUCCAAGUGCAAGAUCAAUGUGUAACAUUAAACUUAUAUAUUAAUUUAUGCGCAUUUUGCUUCCUAUUUAAUUCUGACUGAUCGAUCAGACAACUAUCUACCACAAUAAGUAUAAACAAAAAGAAAUGCAAUAAAAAUAAGAAUUUAGUGGUAGAUAAGUGUGUGGACAAAAACAAGAAAAUAAUGAUUAAGCUUUAAGAGAAAAUAGUCCUACACUGCUUGAACUUGGAUUGUUGGUGAGUAUUGGAUAUAAAGUUUACACCAUGCAAAAGAGAGAAUAUUUUCAAUCAUGCCCCCAACUUUGAUAUUUGUGAGGGAUAUAAAGUUUAAGCCAUUGUUUCUUAUUUUCUUGAAUAGGCACGGCUCUGGGUUGGCAUUCCAUCACUGAAAUCCCGAAGCAAGACAAGGUAGGAUCAUGUCACUGAAAUACACUUUUCCUCACAGGCUUGCAUGAGUUUUACGAAGAUGGUUCGAAGUAAGACUCAUCCUGAAGCUUUGUGUUUGACAGGAUCUAACGGUUUCAUGGAAUACUGGCUGUUGGUUUUUAGUUAGUUCUAAAGUGAUCAACAAAUUUGAUGUUUUAUUACGACAUCUAUAUCUUUUAAUCUAAACAAAAUUCUAAAUUAAUAGAUUAGAUCCUUACUUUUUUUGGUUAGCAACUUAGAGGCUGACUAGUUUUCCCGCUACCACCCGCUUUUGCGGUUGGUAGCAGUUGUUGGCAUUUUAAAACAAUCACAAUAAAUGCUAUACAUCGAUUCAAAUCGCUCUAAACCUCUUAAAAUCAAAAGUUGGUUUCAGAGCUACCGUUUGCGGUUGAAGACAGUUGCAUGUGGAUAAAUAAAUAUAAAAAUAUUAUUUUAAAAUAUUUAAAAUGGAAAUAUUAUAAAUAAAAAAUAAAUAUACAUUUUAUAUUUAAAUGUAAACAACAUAUUAAGUUCAGAUUUUAUGUUUAAAAUAUAUAUACAUUUCUAAAAAAGAUCAAGAAUACUAACUAUAAUUUUUAAACAUUAAUAUAUAUAUAUGUAAUAUACAUAUAGAAGGAUAUAUACAUAUAUAAACAAAACAAAAUAUUAUUGUAAAAGUUUUAAUAUAAAUCUUCAAAACCAAUUUUAUUGAAAUUAUAACUUCCAUCUAAAUUAAAAAUUAAAUAAAUAAACAUAAUAAUAUUAAUUAUACUAUAUUAAUAAUUAUAUAUUUUAUCACAAUAUUGCGUUUUUGAUAUGUUUAUAAUGUUAUAAUAUGUUAAUAUUGCUUAUUUAUUAUUAAACCGCUGCAGUAUUUUGUUAUCAACCAAUCACAAAUAUUCUGCAAACGCAUCAAUGUUUAAAUAUUGUGCUAGUUAUACAAAACACUUAAUAACAUUUGAAACUGCAACCACCUACAUUUGCAAACUCUCACACCCGUAAUCGCAACCGCUGCGUUUGAACCAAAUAUAUAAAAUUGAAUAUAAUUAUAAAUAUCAAAUAUGAAUAUAUUUUAGUUCAUAAAAUAAAAUAAAAAUAUUCUUAAUAAACUCUUUUUGUCUUCGAUGAUUUUUUAGAAUAUUUUUUCCAAACAUCUUUAGCAGCUUUUCCUAAAAUAUACUUACCAAAGAUAUAAAAUUGAAGAAAAAACUUUUAAUCUUUUACUUUUAUCUUCUUCUCUUCUCUAACUUUGACGGUUGGUCUGGAUCGAAGAAUCCGAGCAUCAUCAUCAUCAUCUGUUUGACGUCCUCCGCCAGUUCGUAUUCAAUUCAAAACGAAAAGGCAGAAGAGACUGGGUUCUGUCUGUAUGGAAGCCAACAGUGGCUUGAGAGACGCAAUCAGCUGGCUUCCUGACGAGGUUCUGGGAAAGAUCUUGUCCUUAGUUCCCACAAAAGAAGCUGCUUCAACAUCUGUUCUUGCUAAAAGGUGGAGGCAUGUGUUUAGAUUAGUGGACACUCUUGAUUUUGAUGACACUGUGUUUCUGCAACCGGAAGAGGGCAAAGAAGAGUGUCCUGUGAUCCGGGAGAGCUUCAGAAACUUCGUGGACAGAACACUAGCUUUGCAAUGCGGUUCUCCUAUCAAGAAAUUCUCUCUAAAGUUUCACAUUCACGAGAUGAAAGAGAUGGCUCAUGCGUUCCCCUGGAUAUGCAAUGCCGUAGAGCGU